CCUACGGGCGGCAGCAGUGAGGAAUCUUGGUCAAUGGACGAGAGUCUGAACCAGCCAAGUAGCGUGAAGGAUGACUGCCCUAUGGGUUGUAAACUUCUUUUAUAUGGGAAUAAAAUGUUCCACGUGUGGGAUUUUGUAUGUACCAUAUGAAUAAGGAUCGGCUAACUCCGUGCCAGCAGCCGCGGUAAUACGGAGGAUCCGAGCGUUAUCCGGAUUUAUUGGGUUUAAAGGGAGCGUAGGUGGAUUGUUAAGUCAGUUGUGAAAGUUUGCGGCUCAACCGUAAAAUUGCAGUUGAAACUGGCAGUCGUGAGUACAGUAGAGGUGGGCGGAAUUCGUGGUGUAGCGGUGAAAUGCUUAGAUAUCACGAAGAACUCCGAUUGCGAAGGCAGCUCACUGGACUGCAACUGACACUGAGGCUCGAAAGUGUGGGUAUCAAACAGGAUUAGAUACCCCAGUAGUC
RNAcentral lists this ribosomal RNA (460 nucleotides) under uncultured bacterium. Its description in RNAcentral is "partial 16S ribosomal RNA". It matches the Rfam family "Bacterial small subunit ribosomal RNA", at positions 338 to 795 of the family's 1533-position model. The record is from RNAcentral.